CUGGCUUCAUUGUUGGACAGUUUUUGUGACAAACUUUUGGCUGCCAAUUAACGAAUUUGGACAGUUGUGACCCCGAACAGGUACGCCUCUCUGCAGGGACUGGCUUAUAUCCAAAUUUCGCUCAUCAAAUUACCAUUGUUGAGCCGGACAAGUUUCGCAUUUGGCCUGACAACUUGCCGAAAUGUGCGCUUUGUAGCUGCUGGAAGCAAAGUUCUUGACAGCCAGCGCAGCAGACUCCGGAGGGAUUCUCUUGGGCGGAAUAUUAAUUUGAUAAUUUUGCGGUUGAAUGCAAAUUCGCUGUCAGAGUCCUUUUGCGCUCUAAUUGACUGACGAAUAUUUAAA
Molecule: long non-coding RNA, 342 nt
Filed under: Drosophila guanche
Lineage: Eukaryota; Metazoa; Arthropoda; Insecta; Diptera; Drosophilidae
Source: RNAcentral